Molecule: ribosomal RNA, 429 nt
Filed under: Chloroflexota bacterium
Lineage: Bacteria; Bacillati; Chloroflexota
Also listed under: 1 other name
Description: Chloroflexi bacterium partial 16S ribosomal RNA
Rfam family: Bacterial small subunit ribosomal RNA
Source: RNAcentral
UGGGGAAUAUUGCACAAUGGGCGCAAGCCUGAUGCAGCCAUGCCGCGUGUAUGAAGAAGGCCUUCGGGUUGUAAAGUACUUUCAGCGGGGAGGAAGGGAGUAAAGUUAAUACCUUUGCUCAUUGACGUUACCCGCAGAAGAAGCACCGGCUAACUCCGUGCCAGCAGCCGCGGUAAUACGGAGGGUGCAAGCGUUAAUCGGAAUUACUGGGGGUAAAGCGCACGCAGGCGGUUUGUUAAGUCAGAUGUGAAAUCCCCGGGCUCAACCUGGGAACUGCAUCUGAUACUGGCAAGCUUGAGUCUCGUAGAGGGGGGUAGAAUUCCAGGUGUAGCGGUGAAAUGCGUAGAGAUCUGGAGGAAUACCGGUGGCGAAGGCGGCCCCCUGGACGAAGACUGACGCUCAGGUGCGAAAGCGUGGGGAGCAAACAGG